GACGAACGCUGGCGGCGUGCUUAACACAUGCAAGUCGUACGGUAAGGCCCUUUCGGGGGUACACGAGUGGCGAACGGGUGAGUAACACGUGAGUAACCUGCCCACAACUUUGGGAUAACGCUAGGAAACUGGUGCUAAUACUGGAUAUGUGCUCCUGCUGCAUGGUGGGGGUUGGAAAGCUCCGGCGGUUGUGGAUGGACUCGCGGCCUAUCAGCUUGUUGGUGGGGUAGUGGCUUACCAAGGCGGCGACGGGUAGCCGGCCUGAGAGGGUGACCGGCCACAUUGGGACUGAGAUACGGCCCAGACUCCUACGGGAGGCAGCAGUGGGGAAUAUUGCACAAUGGGCGCAAGCCUGAUGCAGCAACGCCGCGUGCGGGAUGACGGCCUUCGGGUUGUAAACCGCUUUCAGCAGGGACGAAGCUUUUUGUGACGGUACCUGCAGAAGAAGCACCGGCUAACUACGUG
This 465-nucleotide ribosomal RNA is filed under the name uncultured bacterium. RNAcentral's name for it is "partial 16S ribosomal RNA". It matches the Rfam family "Bacterial small subunit ribosomal RNA", at positions 28 to 507 of the family's 1533-position model. The record is from RNAcentral.